This 98-nucleotide ribosomal RNA is filed under the name Erinaceus europaeus (western European hedgehog). Lineage: Eukaryota; Metazoa; Chordata; Mammalia; Eulipotyphla; Erinaceidae. The record is from RNAcentral.
GUCUAUAGUCAUAUCACCCUGAACACGCCUGAUUUUGUCCAGUCUCGGAAUCUAAGCAGGGUCAGGCCUAGUUAGUACUUGGGUGGGUGAAAUGGACA